UGAACGCUAGCGGCAGGCCUAACACAUGCAAGUCGAGGGGUAACAGGGAAGCUUGCUUCCGCUGACGACCGGCGAACGGGUGCGUAACACGUAUGCAACCUGCCUCUAACUGGGGAAUAGCUCAUAGAAAUGUGAAUUAAUACCCCAUAAUAUAUAUAUUAGGCAUCUUUUAUAUAUUAAAGCUCCGGCGGUUAGAGAUGGGCAUGCGGGACAUUAGCUUGUUGGUGAGGUAACUGCUCACCAAGGCAACGAUGUCUAGGGGGUCUGAGAGGACUAUCCCCCACACUGGUACUGAGACACGGACCAGACUCCUACGGGAGGCAGCAGUGAGGAAUAUUGCGCAAUGGAGGCAACUCUGACGCAGCCAUGCCGCGUGCAGGAAUAAGGCCCUAUGGGUUGUAAACUGCUUUUAUACGGGAAGAACUGCAUCUACGUGUAGAUGUUUGACGGUACCGUAAGAAUAAGGAUCGG
RNAcentral lists this ribosomal RNA (471 nucleotides) under uncultured bacterium. Its description in RNAcentral is "bacterial SSU rRNA". It matches the Rfam family "Bacterial small subunit ribosomal RNA", at positions 30 to 496 of the family's 1533-position model. The record is from RNAcentral.